RNAcentral lists this ribosomal RNA (473 nucleotides) under uncultured organism. Its description in RNAcentral is "partial 16S ribosomal RNA". It matches the Rfam family "Bacterial small subunit ribosomal RNA", at positions 331 to 800 of the family's 1533-position model. The record is from RNAcentral.
GUACACUCCUACGGGAGGCAGCAGUGAGGAAUAUUGGACAAUGGGUGGAAGCCUGAUCCAGCCAUCCCGCGUGCAGGAAGACGGCCCUAUGGGUUGUAAACUGCUUUUAUCUGGGGAUAAACCUACUUACGUGUAAGUAGCUGAAGGUACCAGAAGAAUAAGCACCGGCUAACUCCGUGCCAGCAGCCGCGGUAAUACGGAGGGUGCAAGCGUUAUCCGGAUUUAUUGGGUUUAAAGGGUCCGUAGGCGGACUGAUAAGUCAGUGGUGAAAUCCGACAGCUUAACUGUCGAACUGCCAUUGAUACUGUUAGUCUUGAGUAAGGUUGAAGUGGCUGGAAUAAGUAGUGUAGCGGUGAAAUGCAUAGAUAUUACUUAGAACACCAAUUGCGAAGGCAGGUCACUAAGUCUUAACUGACGCUGAUGGACGAAAGCGUGGGGAGCGAACAGGAUUAGAAACCCCAGUAGUCCCAUGA